AGUGAACGCUGGCGGUAGGCCUAACACAUGCAAGUCGAACGGCAGCACAGUAAGAGCUUGCUCUUACGGGUGGCGAGUGGCGGACGGGUGAGGAAUACAUCGGAAUCUACUUUUUCGUGGGGGAUAACGUAGGGAAACUUACGCUAAUACCGCAUACGACCUACGGGUGAAAGCAGGGGAUCUUCGGACCUUGCGCGAUUGAAUGAGCCGAUGUCGGAUUAGCUAGUUGGCGGGGUAAGGGCCCACCAGGGCGACGAUCCGUAGCUGGUCUGAGAGGAUGAUCAGCCACACUGGAACUGAGACACGGUCCAGACUCCUACGGGAGGCAGCAGUGGGGAAUAUUGGACAAUGGGCGCAGGCCUGAUCCAGCCAUACCGCGUGGGUGAAGAAGGCCUUCGGGUUGUAAAGCCCUUUUGUUGGGAAAGAAAAGCAGCAGGUUAAUACCCCGCUGUUCUGACGGUACCCAAAGAAUAAGCACCGGCUAACUUCGUG
Molecule: ribosomal RNA, 492 nt
Filed under: uncultured bacterium
Lineage: Bacteria
Description: partial 16S ribosomal RNA
Rfam family: Bacterial small subunit ribosomal RNA
Source: RNAcentral